CUCUCGGGGUUACAGCCUUGCUGAAUUAUUCACCCUUGUCUUUUGCGUACUUCUUGUUUCCUUGGUGGGUUCGCCCACCACUAGGACAAACAUAAACCUUUUGUAAUUGCAAUCAGCGUCAGUAACAAAUUAAUAAUUACAACUUUCAACAACGGAUCUCUUGGUUCUGGCAUCGAUGAAGAACGCAGCGAAAUGCGAUAAGUAGUGUGAAUUGCAGAAUUCAGUGAAUCAUCGAAUCUUUGAACGCACAUUGCGCCCUUUGGUAUUCCAAAGGGCAUGCCUGUUCGAGCGUCAUUUGUACCCUCAAGCUUUGCUUGGUGUUGGGCGUCUUGUCUCUAGCUUUGCUGGAGACUCGCCUUAAAGUAAUUGGCAGCCGGCCUACUGGUUUCGGAGCGCAGCACAAGUCGCACUCUCUAUCAGCAAAGGUCUAGCAUCCAUUAAGCCUUUUUUCAACUUUUGACCUCGGAUCAGGUAGGGAUACCCGCUGAACUUAAG
Molecule: ribosomal RNA, 495 nt
Filed under: Alternaria sp. BAB-5512
Lineage: Eukaryota; Fungi; Ascomycota; Dothideomycetes; Pleosporales; Pleosporaceae
Description: eukaryotic LSU rRNA
Rfam family: 5.8S ribosomal RNA (bases 141-294)
Source: RNAcentral